UACGUAGGGGGCAAGCGUUGUCCGGAUUUAUUGGGCGUAAAGAGCGUGUAGGCGGCCUGAAAGGUCAGCUGUGAAAACUCGAGGCUCAACCUCGAGACGUCGGUUGAAACCAUCUGGCUAGAGUCUGGAAGAGGAGUGUGGAAUUCCCGGUGUAGCGGUGAAAUGCGCAGAUAUCGGGGAAGAACACCCGUGGCGAAGGCGGCACUCUGGGACGGUACUGACGCUGAGACGCGAAAGCGUGGGGAGCGAACAGG
RNAcentral lists this ribosomal RNA (254 nucleotides) under uncultured bacterium. RNAcentral describes it as "partial 16S ribosomal RNA". It matches the Rfam family "Bacterial small subunit ribosomal RNA", at positions 524 to 776 of the family's 1533-position model. The record is from RNAcentral.